UAGAGGCGGUCAGAGAAAUAUAUUCUCCUUAGGCGGCAGUUGGCAUGAACUUGAACUCGUAAAGUCUCAACGUAAUUGGUUCCGUAUGCCCUCCUGGUAAAAUCAGCCAAAUUCAACUGGAUUUGAUUCCAGCCUUCAUCCAUCUUCAGCGGCAUGGUGCAGAUGAAUGGCUUCACUCGAGUGAUGGCUUGAAAGUUUGAAGCUCGGAAACGUCGCCUGACAUUCUUAUCAUCUAGCACUUGAAUCUCAAAUGUGAAGUAUUUCUUCAAGUUCUUCACAAUCAUAACCAAAAAUGGGAGUUUUAUACCAAGAGUUGC
RNAcentral lists this unclassified non-coding RNA (317 nucleotides) under Hevea brasiliensis (rubber tree). The record is from RNAcentral. Lineage: Eukaryota; Viridiplantae; Streptophyta; Magnoliopsida; Malpighiales; Euphorbiaceae.